GGGGCGUUAGCUCAGCUGGGAGAGCGCCGCCUUUGCAAGGCGGAGGUCGUCGGUUCGAUCCCGACACGCUCCA
This 73-nucleotide transfer RNA is filed under the name Actinomycetota bacterium. RNAcentral describes it as "Actinobacteria bacterium tRNA-Ala". It matches the Rfam family "tRNA". From Rfam's summary of the family: Transfer RNA (tRNA) molecules are approximately 80 nucleotides in length. Their secondary structure includes four short double-helical elements and three loops (D, anti-codon, and T loops). Further hydrogen bonds mediate the characteristic L-shaped molecular structure. tRNAs have two regions of fundamental functional importance: the anti-codon, which is responsible for specific mRNA codon recognition, and the 3' end, to which the tRNAs corresponding amino acid is attached (by aminoacyl-tRNA synthetases). tRNAs cope with the degeneracy of the genetic code in two manners: having more than one tRNA (with a specific anti-codon) for a particular amino acid; and 'wobble' base-pairing, i.e. permitting non-standard base-pairing at the 3rd anti-codon position. RNAcentral also lists the same sequence under 1 other name. The record is from RNAcentral. Lineage: Bacteria; Bacillati; Actinomycetota.